AUGGUGACGACCACGAAGAAGGGCGCGGCGGUGCUGGACCUGCAAAUCCCCGAUGACAUAAAGAAGUCGUGGCACGUCCUGCAACUGGAUGAUGAGAUCUAUGACGCGACCUUGAACCAGACCAACGUCGGGGCCAACAACAAUAAGUUCUUCAUCAUCCAAGCUCUAGAAUCUGACGAUGGCCGAAGCUUCCGGGUUUACUGUAGAUAUGGGAGAGUAGGCUCCCGAGGUCGGACCGAGCUACUCGGCCCCAUGCCACGGCACGAAGCGAUUCGUGCAUUUAAAUUCAAGUUUUGGCAGAAAACAAAUAAUGAAUGGUCCAAUCGCAAGAACUUCAGGUGUCACUCAAAGAAAUACGCCUGGCUUGAAAUGGACUAUGGUAGAGGUGACAAGGAAACAGGUAAGACUCAGAAGAAAUACUCCGUUGCCGAUCAGAUAAGAGAGACAAAGCUUGAGACUCGGACUGCACGUUUCAUAUCCGUGAUCUGCGAUAUUAGCAUGAUGAAGCAGCAAAUGAUGGAAAUCGGUUAUAAUGCUGAAAAACUUCCUCUUGGAAAGAUAAGCAAAUCUACAAUACGCAAGGGUUAUUCUGUUUUGAAGCGGAUCUCUAGCGCUCUUCCAAAGGCUGACCCGAUACAGCUGGAAGAAUUGACUGGGGAAUUCUACACCGUGAUUCCUCAUGACUUUGGUUUCAAAAAGAUGCGUGAAUUUAUCAUUGACACUCCCGAGAAACUGAAAGCUAAGCUGGAAAUGGUUGAAGCCCUUGGUGAGAUUGAGAUUGCGACCAGGCUUCUGGAAGACGACCAAAGCGAUCGGGACGAUCCUUUGUAUGCUCGAUACAAGCAGCUUCAUUGUGACUUUACACCUCUGGAAGUUGAUUCGGAAGAAUACUCCAUGAUAAAAACAUAUUUGACGAACACACGUGCCAAAAGACAUUCGGGUUAUACGGUCGACAUAGAGCAGAUAUUUAAGGUGACAAGGCAGGGUGAAACAGAGCGGUUUCAGAAGUUCAUCGGUGCAGGAAACAGGAUGCUUCUAUGGCAUGGCUCUCGGUUGACAAACUGGACCGGGAUAUUUUCUCGGGGUUUGCGAAUCGCUCCUCCUGAAGCGCCUAGCACCGGCUACAUGUUUGGGAAAGGGGUUUACUUUGCUGACAUGUUCUUCAAGAGUGCAAACUACUGCUGUCCUUCACAAGCAUCUAGAUCUGGAGUGCUGCUUCUAUGCGAGGUCUGUUUUGCCCAGCUAUCAAAUGUUCACUGUUAG
This 1263-nucleotide ribosomal RNA is filed under the name Triticum aestivum (bread wheat). Its description in RNAcentral is "partial small subunit ribosomal RNA". The record is from RNAcentral. Lineage: Eukaryota; Viridiplantae; Streptophyta; Magnoliopsida; Poales; Poaceae.